Molecule: long non-coding RNA, 1644 nt
Organism: Nothobranchius furzeri (turquoise killifish)
Lineage: Eukaryota; Metazoa; Chordata; Actinopteri; Cyprinodontiformes; Nothobranchiidae
Source: Ensembl
AUGCCCUACCAUGAUGAGGAGUACCCAGGCCAGCCUCUCUGGCAGUCUGUGCUGCUUUUCUGCUGCAAGGGCAUGAUCGAAGGCAUCAUGAUCCUUCUCUUCUUCUGGCUCCUGGUGCAGGUCCUCUUCACAAAACAACUGGAAGUUCACCUUCAGGUUCUUCUUUUGGUCGGACUGAUCAUAUUUUGUCUGACUUUGAUUCUGGGAUGCAUCAUGUGCUGGAAGAAAAGUGACUUGUGCUCAGGAAAAGACAAAGCUCCGGUCCCAUCAGCCCUGCCUGCUGUUGAGCCGUUGAACUCUGCUCGUAGCCGACGUCCUUCAGGAGCUACCGCUGCAUCCAGGCAGCUGUACGAGGAGCUAGAUGGAGACCUGCUGGAGUACCCCUCCACCUUCACCAGCCCAGCCCCGUCUCAGAGUGAAAUAGUCUCUCAGCCAUUUUCUGAUCAAGAUCAUAAUCAGAGAACAACUUAUUUCUCCGUUCGCCGCCUCAGCUCCCCUCUGCAAACAGCACCCCUCUACAAACCCAUGCAUCCCAGCCGUGCUUCGCUGCCUUCGCUUCCCUCACUGCCCAAACUGGGGAUGUUGACUAGAACAUGUAAGGCCAUGCAAAGGCACAGCAGUGUCACAGGUGACAAUAAAUCCUACAAUGAACACAGCAGACUCACCAUCAACUCCUCAUUAAUGCCUGGAAAUCUAAUCCCUAUGGCUCAACUGAACUACGGCUCCAAUGCAAACUGCAAACAGCUGUUUUCAUUUAAACCCUGCCUCCAUUUUACCAUGGCCCUCUGUCUGGAGCAGCAUACUUUAACAGUCACUGUCUUAAACCUCACUGGGAGGCCUCAGGGAUUGGAGGAUGUUACUGUGCUGGGAAGUCUGCCACCCCUGCAUGAAUGUCCGACUCCAGCCACAACUCGGAGAAGCCUAAGCCCUGAGUCGCUCAGCUUGGUGCUGGUUUUUAACGUGAGCUCUGUGAGCGAGAUCCCAAGCUGUGAACUACGGUUAGCUGUUUAUGAGGACAACACACAGAGCACAGACGGCUGCGCUCUGGGUGAGGUGGAGUUCAAAUGUGAAGGAAGAGACUGGAGAAAAGAGCAUCCAUUGAUCCUCGUGAAAGAACUUACUGCAAACAAAGUGAACACUGAAAAGUCACUGCAAAGUCAGACCUCCCAGGAUGUACUGAGGGGGUCCAGCUGUCCUCCACAGAUCUUCAUUGGGCUUCAGUAUCAGGCUCUGACCCAUUGCAUCAAAGUCACGGUCCUCAGAGCUGAAAACCUCCAAAAGCUUGUUCACACACAGAUGGCAGCAGAUUACCAGGUGAUUAUAAACCUGCACAACGAGGGAGUUUUGAUCAGCAGCAGAGAAACAACACGAGAAUCCUGCACCGUUUGGAAUAAAACAUCCUUCCUGUUUAAGCUGCCUCCAGGGGACAUCCAUCAGCUGCCAGUCCUGUUUGAGUUUGUAAUCAUGCAGUGUCAUGCAUGCUCAGAUAGCACAGCUGUUGGUCGAGUGCGGAUCGGUGCAGAUGCUGCAGAUGCAGGACGUAAUCAUUGGAUGGACAUGUGCAGCCUGCAGGUGGAGCGUGCACGCUGGCACAUCAUUCAACCAGAGACACUUCAACAUGUCGGUGCUGCAAAAGUGUUAUAA